CGGAACGCGAAAUAUACGAUCGGAAUAUUUUUAAUGUGUUAAAAUUGUUCUGUGUGUCUGGAUUAUAACUUUUGUUUCAUUGGAGAUCGAGGUAUUUUCCCUAAUCUUUCGUGAAACCACACAAAAACGUGAUGCAGUUUCAAUUCUUCAUUUGAUUCACAUCUGUUUUGCCAUAUAUGCCCUUGUUUUAGUUUACGGAAACUGCAGAAAUCUAAAAUAUUGCCCGAACAAGGAUGUCUCACGUCAGAUAGAACGUGGAGAUGAACCUAGUUAAACUUAACUAAAAAUGUAAUCAUCCUUAGUUGAAAGAAGGUUCUCUGACCAGGAUUUUAAAGUCAUUCAAAGUGGUUGCCAGUUUAUUUUUUUAUAAGAAAAUAAAAGAAUUGAUCAAUUUACAAUUUUUCAAAUUUUUGUAAAUCAGUUGAGUCAUGUUUAUCUCCUUCAAGUGACAUAUUAAAAGCCCAUAAUGAGUCAUAAAUGGACUUUGUUCUAUUUUAUAUAUUGAAAAUGGCUCAGCAGUAGAUAAAUCCGUAUAGCUCAUAUAGCUAUAAAAGUGACUAAUGUAGGUCACCAAUAAUUUUAAAGGUUUCAA
Drosophila suzukii is the source of this 592-nucleotide non-coding RNA. Lineage: Eukaryota; Metazoa; Arthropoda; Insecta; Diptera; Drosophilidae. The record is from RefSeq and is a predicted model, not a curated record.